Molecule: ribosomal RNA, 427 nt
Filed under: uncultured bacterium
Lineage: Bacteria
Description: partial 16S ribosomal RNA
Rfam family: Bacterial small subunit ribosomal RNA
Source: RNAcentral
UGGGGAAUAUUGCACAAUGGGCGCAAGCCUGAUGCAGCCAUGCCGCGUGUAUGAAGAAGGCCUUCGGGUUGUAAAGUACUUUCAGCGGGGAGGAAGGCGAUAAGGUUAAUAACCUUGUCGAUUGACGUUACCCGCAGAAGAAGCACCGGCUAACUCCGUGCCAGCAGCCGCGGAAAUACGGAGGGUGCAAUCGUUAAUCGGAAUUACUGGGCGUAAAGCGCACGCAGGCGGUCUGUCAAGUCGGAUGUGAAAUCCCCGGGCUCAACCUGGGAACUGCAUUCGAAACUGGCAGGCUAGAGUCUUGUAGAGGGGGGUAGAAUUCCAGGUGUAGCGGUGAAAUGCGUAGAGAUCUGGAGGAAUACCGGUGGCGAAGGCGGCCCCCUGGACAAAGACUGACGCUCAGGUGCGAAAGCGUGGGGAGCAAACA